Molecule: long non-coding RNA, 749 nt
Filed under: Equus asinus (donkey)
Lineage: Eukaryota; Metazoa; Chordata; Mammalia; Perissodactyla; Equidae
Description: lncRNA (ENSEASG00005038803.1)
Source: RNAcentral
AGUGAGAAUCAGUGGGGGUGGAGUCCGGGACCUCUGUUUUAACAAGUUCUCCAGGUGACCCUUAUGCAUGCUAAAAUUUAGGAACCACACAUCUAGAGUAAGCAUGACACUAACUAAGACAGAAGGCAGCACCAGGAAUCUGGGAAUGUCACCAGGAUUUCAAAUAUCUGACCCAGGAACCAGAGUCUGAAGUUGGCACCAGAGAAACCACAAGGACACAUAGGAGACUGUCAGCAGCUGGGAUAAUUGGAAUGGGACGUGAGAACGCUUUUGGCCAGAUGCCCUCUGGAAAUAACACUCUACCAGUUUGCUCAACUUGGAAAGCUUCAUUCCAUCCUUGAAUUGUGUGAGAAUUUCCCACUCAACAGCUGUUGGCCAACUGAGAGCUAAUUAAUCCUAGAGCAUAAAUAAUAGCUAAUCAUGGAGGUCUCUUCCUCCCAACAAUCGGGGCUCCAGAUGCUGGGCAAGUGUUCGAAAUGGCAGCUCCAAGGAUAAGGCUAAAUUGUGGUAUCUGAAAAUGUCAUCUGGGAAUUGUCUGCCUCAGAACCACAGAAAUGCUAAUUAAAAAUGCAGAUUCUUGGGCCAAAUUUCAAGUUGACAGAUUCAGUCUCCCACAUGACUCUUGUUUUCAUAACAUCUGAGAAUCACUGCAUUGUUUGGCUUUGGGAGAUUUGAGGGGCUGAGAAUUUUGUCUCUAGUUUAAAUUUUUCUAGCCCUGCUUCUAAGAAGAGGUUUCCAUUAGAUUAUAU